CAAAUUAGAGCUUGACAGGUAAGUAUUUCAUUUACAUUGAAAUGAUAUUGAAUUUUCAAUUAAUUUGA
RNAcentral lists this transfer RNA (68 nucleotides) under Hypsopygia regina. RNAcentral's name for it is "tRNA-Val". The record is from RNAcentral. Lineage: Eukaryota; Metazoa; Arthropoda; Insecta; Lepidoptera; Pyralidae.